Helianthus annuus (common sunflower) is the source of this 536-nucleotide long non-coding RNA. RefSeq lists it as uncharacterized. NCBI's taxonomy places the organism in Eukaryota, Viridiplantae, Streptophyta, Magnoliopsida, Asterales, Asteraceae. The transcript has 3 exons. The record is from RefSeq and is a predicted model, not a curated record.
UUUUUUGAGAUAAACCUUUUUAUGAUUUUCCUUGAUGGCUGAGUGACAUACUUGCCAAAGUUGGACUUUUAUAUCCAAAGCAUGGUAAUAUCAAUACUCAUGACAUCCUAUACCAUAUUUUCUUUAUCUCAUGACCAUCCGAUCACAUCAUCAUCAUUACAUAUAUUCAUGCCAUACACAUUAAUUUUUAUUAUACAUUCCUUGAUAUAUUUGGUGGAUUUUGUCAAACCAACUCCUCCUGGAACCAUACCCAUCGACCAUACCCUAUUAAUUGUGCUUCAUCCUUAUCAUUUAAACACAAGACCAUUUCAUUCUAUUUUCCACUCUCCAAAACCAAAAACAAGAGCACACACACAAGCCACAAAUUGAAUUUCAAGAUUCAAGGUCAAGCUUCAAACCGUUCAUGCCUUUUUUGUUUUUGGCACGAGUAGGUCAUUUCAUGUAGACACGGACUUUGCUAUUUGCUUUGCCACAUUUGUUUGCACAUCAGGUUGCAUUUUUCAAAACUACGGAACGGUUGGAAUAGGAGAACCCAC